UGUGUGUACUGUCUACUCUAUUCUGUGGUGCAGGCUCUCCACUAUUCUCCUAUUUUACACAUUUUCUGCAACAAGUUAAUAACAGCCACAAGCUUUCUGUAGAAAGAGGAUUGUCCUGCUGUUUAGAUGGUGAAUUGAAUUAAUUUCAGUGAAUUCAGCACAGUUUAGUAGAUCUAUAUUGUCUGCAAGAGAAUUAACCAUGUGUUUGUUUUCUUCUGUCUAACAACUCUAGGUGUGAUCCACCCCUUAACCUCUACCUUAGCCUACCAUCUUUAUAAGUAUACGCUGUCAAGUAAGUUUUGCUUUUCUGUUUUUAAUCUUGUUCUCUCAGUGAACAUGGUUUAUCAUAAAAUGUGAGUCUUUCUCUCUGUCACACACACACUCUCUAUCCCUGAUAGAAAUGCCAGGCCAGGGAUCCACGUUGAGGGAGUGUGUGGUCUUCAAUGCACAGCUUAAUGUGGCCUGCAAAACCUGCAAGAUAUGCAAAGCUGAGCAGCCACGAAAGUUGAGGCUCAAGAAUAAAAUUGAAAAUUUUGACAAGAAGCGUAAGAGCUGGGUCAAUAUCCACAUGAAAAAUAGGACCACCUCGCAUAUUUGCGAUGAAGAUUACAUAUUGCUCGAAAAAUUGCAGGCCCUUGGAGUAAGGGCUGUUUUGUUUGUCUCAAAGGCUGGGAGGAAACCUGGUUCGUGGGUUUCAGAGGUUUUGGCACCCCGUUGCCAGCUCUCAGAAACCUCCACCACAUGCCUGGAGAGGAUGAAGAGCCUGUAUGACAUUGUUAUUCAAGCUAUGCCGCCCUCAAACAGGCUGGUUACCACAAGACGCCACAGGACAACUGGGUGAACCCUCAUCUACCCAAGUUGAUCCUCUAGCUGGAACACCACUGGCUUCACCAGACUCUCCAGUACCAGUGGCCCUUGAUCCCCCAGCAGCCUCAGUGGCCCCAGUGACCACACCACCACUGACCACGCCACCACUGACCACACCACCACUGACCAGGCCACCACUGACCAGGCCACCACUGACCACGCCACCACUGACUAGGCCACCACUGACCACGCCACCACUGAUCAGGCCACCACUGACCACGCCACCACUGAUCAGGCCACCACUGACCACGCCACCAGCAGCCCAAAGUGGAGUCUUGGCAGCCUCAGCAGGACCGCAUGCAGCCCUGACAGAAUCCCCAGCACACAGAACACGGAAAAGGAAAGAAUGCCCACAUACAGUGUCAGGGAGCCAAGACUUUUACCCUGUGAAGAGGGUUUCCAAAUGCAAAGUUAUGAAGGUUAAUUAUAAUCCCACUCAAACACAGUCCCUGUCACAGGAAUUCAGCCCCAUCUGUAAUCAAGAAAUUCAAAAUUAUAAACUUUGUGUCAGUGAAAAUAGUUUCAAUAGUUCAAGUGUUCCCUUUUGGUAACAGGACAUACAAGGCCCUUUUGGACUGUAAGAACUCAACUGUUACAAUACAAAUUUGGCGAUGACACAAUUCCAGGUAAAGCUCCUGGAAUUAAUUUUAAGUUGUUUUUAAACUGUGGGAGCAAAACUUAACAAAUUUAAGUCUAAGAUUCUUAAUGUGAUACUUCCAGCUCUGCAUGGUUAUUUUUUCAUCCAUUGGAAAAGUCUCUGAAUUUCAUGUUUUCUGGAAGGUCUCAUGUUAGAGAAUGUUACAGUCAAAAAGGGCUGAUAUUUUUGGUUAUUGCUGUAUGGCAAAGAUUUGAAACUAAGAAAAGUCUCUCUAUUUUUAAGGGCCAAAAAAUGAAGCUUGUGGAGUGGGAACCAUGCAAACUCUGUGGAAAGAAGUGGCCAUUGGAGUGGGUGCCGGAUAAGGACACCUGUUAGUGCUCCAGUUUCACAAGGUUCCCAGUGCCGAAGGUGUAGAAGCACUGUUACAUGUCAGAUUUGUGAUUUUUUUUAUUUGUUUGUUAUUCCUUCUUAAUGUUAUAAACAUAAACAAGACUGCCUGUUGGACCUGGAACUCUCCACAGCUGCUUGUGGCUGUAUUUCAUUUUAAACUUUGUAUUGUUUAUUACUACUGUUGUGUUUUGUUGCACACCAAUUGUUGUCACUUGAAGAUAUGCAUUUUCACUGACACUACUAUCUUCAAUAUUACUGCUGUUGUGUUUUGUUGCACACCAAUUUUUGUCACUUGAAGAUAUACGAAUGUUAAUUGACACUACUAUCUUCAUUAAAAAAAAUACCAAAUGAACUACUUUCUUCUUUAAUGUCUUACUAUAUUUAUUGUAUUUCUUUCUCUACUUCAUUAUAUUUACACCCAAGACAACAUACAGUUUAUCUGAGAAUUUGGUUCAAUGCAUUAAUACAAAAACAUGUCAUUUUUAAAGAGUUGCAUUAUUACCUUGUCUCUCUAUAUAGAAACCAUACUGGCUCUCCUGUGAUAGGUGACUCGCACUAAUUACAUAUUAAC
Epinephelus fuscoguttatus (brown-marbled grouper) is the source of this 2426-nucleotide RNA transcript. It is a transcript of the gene named proline-rich protein 36-like, with no coding region annotated. NCBI's taxonomy places the organism in Eukaryota, Metazoa, Chordata, Actinopteri, Perciformes, Serranidae. The transcript has 6 exons. The record is from RefSeq and is a predicted model, not a curated record.